Molecule: ribosomal RNA, 1345 nt
Filed under: uncultured bacterium
Lineage: Bacteria
Description: bacterial SSU rRNA
Rfam family: Bacterial small subunit ribosomal RNA
Source: RNAcentral
GAUGAACGCUAGUGGGAGGCCUAACACAUGCAAGCCGAGCGGUAGAGAUCUUUCGGGAUCUUGAGAGCGGCGUACGGGUGCGGAACACGUGUGCAACCUGCCUUUAUCAGGGGGAUAGCCUUUCGAAAGGAAGAUUAAUACCCCAUAAUAUAUUGAAUGGCAUCAUUUGAUAUUGAAAACUCCGGUGGAUAGAGAUGGGCACGCGCAAGAUUAGAUAGUUGGUAGGGUAACGGCCUACCAAGUCAGUGAUCUUUAGGGGGCCUGAGAGGGUGAUCCCCCACACUGGUACUGAGACACGGACCAGACUCCUACGAGAGGCAGCAGUGAGGAAUAUUGGACAAUGGGUGAGAGCCUGAUCCAGCCAUCCCGCGUGAAGGACGACGGCCCUAUGGGUUGUAAACUUCUUUUGUAUAGGGAUAAACCUUUCCACGUGUGGAAAGCUGAAGGUACUAUACGAAUAAGCACCGGCUAACUCCGUGCCAGCAGCCGCGGUAAUACGGAGGGUGCAAGCGUUAUCCGGAUUUAUUGGGUUUAAAGGGUCCGUAGGCGGAUCUGUAAGUCAGUGGUGAAAUCUCAUAGCUUAACUAUGAAACUGCCAUUGAUACUGCAGGUCUUGAGUAAAGUAGAAGUGGCUGGAAUAAGUAGUGUAGCGGUGAAAUGCAUAGAUAUUACUUAGAACACCAAUUGCGAAGGCAGGUCACUAUGUUUUAACUGACGCUGAUGGACGAAAGCGUGGGGAGCGAACAGGAUUAGAUACCCUGGUAGUCCACGCCGUAAACGAUGCUAACUCGUUUUUGGGUUUUCGGAUUCAGAGACUAAGCGAAAGUGAUAAGUUAGCCACCUGGGGAGUACGUUCGCAAGAAUGAAACUCAAAGGAAUUGACGGGGGCCCGCACAAGCGGUGGAUUAUGUGGUUUAAUUCGAUGAUACGCGAGGAACCUUACCAAGGCUUAAAUGGGAAUUGACAGGUUUAGAAAUAGACUUUUCUUCGGACAAUUUUCAAGGUGCUGCAUGGUUGUCGUCAGCUCGUGCCGUGAGGUGUUAGGUUAAGUCCUGCAACGAGCGCAACCCCUGUCACUAGUUGCCAUCAUUCAGUUGGGGACUCUAGUGAGACUGCCUACGCAAGUAGAGAGGAAGGUGGGGAUGACGUCAAAUCAUCACGGCCCUUACGCCUUGGGCCACACACGUAAUACAAUGGCCGGUACAGAGGGCAGCUACCUAGCGAUAGGAUGCGAAUCUCGAAAGCCGGUCUCAGUUCGGAUUGGAGUCUGCAACUCGACUCUAUGAAGCUGGAAUCGCUAGUAAUCGCAUAUCAGCCAUGAUGCGGUGAAUACGUUCCCGGGCCU